AUCCAGCUGACGAGUCCCAAAUAAGAUGAAACGUGCAUCAAACUGGAU
Schistosoma curassoni is the source of this 48-nucleotide non-coding RNA. NCBI's taxonomy places the organism in Eukaryota, Metazoa, Platyhelminthes, Trematoda, Strigeidida, Schistosomatidae. The record is from Rfam.